RNAcentral lists this ribosomal RNA (441 nucleotides) under uncultured soil bacterium. Its description in RNAcentral is "bacterial SSU rRNA". It matches the Rfam family "Bacterial small subunit ribosomal RNA", at positions 26 to 517 of the family's 1533-position model. The record is from RNAcentral.
AGAACGAACGCUGGCGGCAUGCCUAACACAUGCAAGUCGAACGAUCUCUUCGGAGAUAGUGGCGCACGGGUGCGUAACGCGUGGGAAUCUGCCCUUGGGUUCGGAAUAACAGUUGGAAACGACUGCUAAUACCGGAUGAUGACGUUAAGUCCAAAGAUUUAUCGCCCAGGGAUGAGCCCGCGUAGGAUUAGCUAGUUGGUGAGGUAAAGGCUCACCAAGGCGACGAUCCUUAGCUGGUCUGAGAGGAUGAUCAGCCACACUGGGACUGAGACACGGCCCAGACUCCUACGGGAGGCAGCAGUGGGAAUAUGGACAAUGGGCGAAAGCCUGAUCCAGCAAUGCCGCGUGAGUGAUGAAGGCCUUAGGGUUGUAAAGCUCUUUUACCCGGAUGAUAAUGACAGUACCGGAGAAUAAGCUCGGCUAACUCCGUACCAGCAGCCG